RNAcentral lists this ribosomal RNA (252 nucleotides) under uncultured bacterium. RNAcentral describes it as "partial 16S ribosomal RNA". It matches the Rfam family "Bacterial small subunit ribosomal RNA", at positions 524 to 776 of the family's 1533-position model. The record is from RNAcentral.
UACGGAGGGUGCAAGCGUUAUCCGGAUUCACUGGGGUUAAAGGGUGCGUAGGCGGCUAGGUAAGUCCGUGGUGAAAUCCUGCAGCUUAACUGCAGAACUGCCAUGGAUACUAUUUAUCUUGAAUGUCGUGGAGGUUAGCAGAAUAUGUCAUGUAGCGGUGAAAUGCUUAGAUAUGACAUAGAAUACCCACUGCGAGGCAGCUAACUACGAGAGAAUUGACGCUGAUGCACGAAAGCGUGGGGAGCAAACAGG